ACUCCUACGGGAGGCAGCAGUGGGGAAUAUUGCACAAUGGGCGAAACCCUGAUGCAGCCAUGCCGCGUGUUUGAAGAAGGCCUUCGGGUUGUAAAGCACUUUCAGUAGGGAGGAAAGGUAGUAACUUAAUACGUUCUUGCUGUGACGUUACCGACAGAAGAAGGACCGGCUAACUGCGUGCCAGCAGCCGCGGUAAUAC
RNAcentral lists this ribosomal RNA (199 nucleotides) under uncultured Shewanella sp. Its description in RNAcentral is "partial 16S ribosomal RNA". It matches the Rfam family "Bacterial small subunit ribosomal RNA", at positions 335 to 526 of the family's 1533-position model. The record is from RNAcentral. Lineage: Bacteria; Pseudomonadati; Pseudomonadota; Gammaproteobacteria; Alteromonadales; Shewanellaceae.